This 239-nucleotide non-coding RNA is filed under the name Bacillus sp. (in: firmicutes). RNAcentral's name for it is "Bacillus sp. T-box sequence". It matches the Rfam family "T-box leader". Rfam says of the family: Uncharged tRNA acts as the effector for transcription antitermination of genes in the T-box leader family. T-boxes are found upstream of many aminoacyl-tRNA synthetase genes and some amino acid biosynthetic genes usually in Gram-positive bacteria. The record is from RNAcentral. Lineage: Bacteria; Bacillati; Bacillota; Bacilli; Caryophanales; Bacillaceae.
AUGCAAGCGUUGAAGAAGAAGAGUACCUUACUUCAUUCACUGAAGAGAGCCGGUGGCUGGUGCAAACCGGUGUGAAUGGUUAAGCGAAUGGGCUUCUGAGCUCCAAACUGAAACCGGCAGCGGUAGUAGGCUUUGGCGGACCGUCUCAUCGUUACCCGAGACAGGCAUUUAAUUAUGAUGCUGUAAAGUGAGCUUUUUUAGCUAAUUAAAGGUGGUACCACGGGUUCCUCGUCCUUUUG